UCCGGCUCUACGCCGGCAGUCUCUCUAGAGUCCCCGCCAUUACGCGCUGGCAACUAAGGACAAGGGUUGCGCUCGUUGCGGGACUUAACCCAACAUGUCACCACACGAGCUGACGACAGCCAUGCAGCACCUGUCUCUCUGCUGUAUUGCUACAGAAGCACUAUCUCUAGGGUUGUCAGAGGAUGUCAAAUCCAGGUAAGGUUCUUCGCGUUGCUUCGAGUUAAACCACAUGAUCCACCGCUUGUGCGGGCCCCCGUCAAUUCCUUUGAGUUUUAGUCUUGCGACCGUACUUCCCAGGCGGGGUACUUAGUGCGUUAGCGCCGGUUCGGCGGGGGUCAAGACCCACCAAACCUAGUACCCAUCGUUUACAGCGUGGACUAC
Molecule: unclassified non-coding RNA, 381 nt
Filed under: uncultured Oligoflexales bacterium
Lineage: Bacteria; Pseudomonadati; Bdellovibrionota; Oligoflexia; Oligoflexales
Description: contains 16S-23S intergenic spacer region
Source: RNAcentral